Molecule: long non-coding RNA, 760 nt
Filed under: Anser brachyrhynchus (Pink-footed goose)
Lineage: Eukaryota; Metazoa; Chordata; Aves; Anseriformes; Anatidae
Description: lncRNA (ENSABRG00000016745.1)
Source: RNAcentral
GCAGCUGAAGUGCGCUUCCCAGGCAGGCCUGACAGAGGUUCAGUGCCUUCCCUCCGCCUCCUCUGCCAUGUACCCAGCUUCACGUCCCAAGUCUUGGCUGUGGACUCAGGAACAAAAAUCACUUCUGCAACAACUCACUUGAAUGUUUUUGAUGCACGCGUGACCAGAAGAAAAGGGAAUGGUGAAAUCAGUGAGACAAGACCUGUUUGGGUGGCAGAAGUUCUCUCCUGGUUCUGCAGACAUUUCUACUCCAACUGCCAUGGACAAAACCACGUUUGGAGACACCAGUAUAGACAGAGCAGCACUUGUUCAUUGGGAUUUCCUUCCUUUGACGAUUUCCAGAUAAUAAAAGUUGAGAGAUUAAAGGGAACCUUUUUAUUCUCUGUAUAGUUCUGCCAAUUAACCACAAUUACAUCCAAAAGAAAAAAAAGAUCACUAGACUUUUUAGCAGCUUUUAUGGCCUUGCCUCAAGCUAUUUGCUCACUCCGGUUCUCAAAACACCAUCUCCAGGCAGCAAGAAAACAAGCAGCAGGCACACCGUAAGCAGCACACUUUUCCUUCAGGUACUCAUCCACAUGUCAAGCAGACCAUUUAGGAGAAAAAUAACUUCCUUCUUCAUAUUUUUUCAGUGGCAUUACAUUUCAUUUGUGCUUGCCCAGACUUGUAUGUCAGCGGCUAAUAUAGUGGAGGCACUUUUGCGUGGCAUUUUAAGGAGAACAGAUACUACAGAACAAUGAACAAUAAUCAGGAUGUCUUAAAU